This 7841-nucleotide long non-coding RNA is filed under the name Eucalyptus grandis. RNAcentral's name for it is "long non-coding RNA (EGRA_LNC000287)". Lineage: Eukaryota; Viridiplantae; Streptophyta; Magnoliopsida; Myrtales; Myrtaceae. The record is from RNAcentral.
UAGAUCAUAAGAUACGAAGGGAGAAAUUCCUCCUCAUAAAAGUCAAACCGUCCGGCCUCACUUCAGAUUGAACGAUCAACUGCCGUUCGGACAUCACAAAGCUCGCCACCUUGAGCGACCGUGCGAGAGAUCGAGUGACCGAUAUUGACUCCGAAGCGGACGACAAUGGAGUUCCCAUAUGGUCAUCACGCUCACGGACACCACCACAAACACGACGGCGACGACAACGACGAGGAGUCCCGAAGAAACCUGCCCUACCCGCCACCCGGAGCCACCCUCCCGCCCUACGUCUACGGCCAGCCUCCCCCUCCUCCUCCGCCGUCCAACGUGUACCACACCUCGCACUCGCCUCCCCCGUCCGCUUACCCCUCCCCCUACCCUCCACCGCCUCAGAUGUUUCCUCAAGGAUCAACCGAGUACUCUGCUUACCCGUACCCGCCGCACGUGGCUCACGGCGGUGGAGCUCUGGCCUCUUACUUCGCCUACAAGCUCACUUACAACGUUUUCUGCAAGGCCAACCCCAAUUAUUCUCUCGCUAUCAGGGACUCAAAACUCGUUCUUGCACCCUCCGAUUCCAGUGAUCCUUAUCAAGUAUGUCGUUUUGCUUUGCUUUCGCCUGUCACCCCCGAACCUUGAUCUUUGGUUCUGUAAAAUAUAUUCAACUUGAUAGCCCUUUUUUUACGGGGGUUUGGUCUGAUCUGCCUAAUCUGAGCGUUUCUGAGCUUGUUUUAGUGUUGUUUGACUUUUUUUCUUUCCGUCGUGUGAGUGAUGGUUUUUAUUCUUUAAUUCUUUUGGUGAUGUGGAGUGGCUUGUAUGAUUUCAUUUGAUCAGAAGUGGUACAAGGAUGAGAAGUUCAGCACCAGAGUCAAGGAUGAAGAGGGUUCUCCCUGCUUUUCUCUGGUCAACAAGGCCACUGGUGAGGCCAUCAAGCACUCUGUUGGAGCCUCUCACCCGGUGAGUUUGUCUCUCUAGAUAUUCAAAUCUGAAACCUCUGCAAUUAUAGGAUACCCGUUCGAGCUGCAAAUUAGGAUAGGAAGAAUGAUCUAUUCGCAUAAUCUGGGCUGUAGAGCAGAAGAAAAGCUCAUGAGACUAGUUAUAAGCCAGAUAUCACUUUCGUGCGAGUCGUAUUUCGGUGACCAUGAUACUUUAGCCCAUCAUCAAUCUCAUUGGUCAACAGAGCUGUCAAGUUUGUUCUCCUUGUUCGACCAAAAGAAGAUUGCAGUCUUCCAAUUAUUAUCGGCUUUGAUAGCCAAGAAUCAUGACUAUGGAUGUUGCCUUGUAUUGACUUGCAUGAUAAACUUUGGAGAUUCAGGCAUUGGAUUGAUCAAAUUACUAGUCAUUCGUUUUAGCAGCGCUAUAACUUCUAAAUUAUCGUUUUUCUAUACUUGUCUAGAUUCUGUGAGUGACUUCACGAACAUAAGUGUGUCAUUCUAGUGUGUCAUAGAAACUAAGGUUAAUCUCAAAAUGGCUCAUUAUAAGCUAUAUCUGAACAUUUGUUUAUCUUCCGUUCGGUUGUUGUACCACGAUCCUCUGAUUCGGUUUCAUUUUUGGUAACUGAUCGUCAGACCGGUCGUGGUUCCAAAAGAAUUCUUCUUGAGGCAUAAGUUGUUUUCCAUUCUGGCUACCAUUUUAGUACCUUUUUCGCUGCCUGAAUAUUUUCUUGCAUUUUUGCCUUUAUGAAUGCCAACGUGGACACUACUGAAAAGGUCGACCGCCCUCUAAAGUCAGCAUUGUCUUUCAGCUUCUGUGAAAAAGCCUGUUUGCACCGAGCCUUCACUUUCGUUGCCUCAACUUGAGUUUCAUCUCGACAUGUGUAUUUUUGAGCCAAUUGUUGGGUUUGGUUAAACUCCUGGAGGUUCUCAUGAUUUGCACAUAAUGCAUGCUUCCUCACCAGAAAAUGGACAAAUAUAUUUUGGAUUAGGAUAUAUGUACCUGGUGAUCAUACAGUAGUGAGGGACAGACCCACUUUGAAAUCAAAGGAAAAGCUUAAUUUAAGCCUUAGCUCUCUGAAAAUAUUGUUGGUAUCAGAGAUGCAGAUAUUUGUCGGAUCUAAGAUUUGCACUUUUGGUAAUCUGCAGGUGCAGCUGGCACCCUAUAAUCCAGAGCAGCUUGAUGCAUCUGUUCUGUGGACGGAGAGCAAGGACCUUGGCGAUGGUUACAGAGCCGUAAGGAUGGUUAACAAUGUUCACCUGAAUUUGGAUGCUUUUCAUGGUGACCAAUUAUCCGGCGGCGUUCAUGAUGGCACAACUAUUGUGCUCUGGCAGUGGAACAACGGAGAUAAUCAGAAUUGGAAGAUCACCACGCAUUGUAAGUUCCUUAGACGCAGAGGAGAGAAAUAACCUUUUUUACAACUAGACACUCGUUUCUUUUUCUUUCAUUUCUGAACUAUACCCUUUGAUGGUUGAUGCAGAAUACAUGGGGGAAGAGUACCUGAAUUUGGAGGUUGUCUUAUUUGCGGGAUAUGCAUUUGGUGGAUUGCUAUGCUUCCACGCGAGUUUGUGUUGUGAUCUCGAAUAUUGCUUCUAUCUCCAUGCUCGAUUAAGACUCGACUGCUAUCGUGUGUUACUUUUACUUUGGAUUUUAUAGCAUUAUCAUUUUGUGUGUUAUAUCACACCGCAGACUAUAUAUAUAUGCCUGAUAAAUUGGUAAUCCUCUGCAUUAAGCUGUUUUAGAUGUCGCUUGUGGAGAUAGAUAUACUAUAUCAUGUAUGCGUUGCAAGCGCGAGAAGAGCAUGUUCUCAUGUUGCCAUGCGCUGCUACAUCGCAAAGUGACAAAUAUGACAAGAGCAGCUGUUAAUUUUACAGCUAUUGUCCUUUUUUUCUUAGAAUCAAUCAUGUCCAUCGUUUUCCUCAGCUGACUUGAUCGUCUCACGUGUUUACACAUCCAAUCGCCCACCACAGUCUUGAGUUCCUUUGGACUUGAUUUCGUUUCAUAAUUGGGUUGAGAUCAGUUAAAAAUUAGGCUUUCGAGCAUUGAUUCUGGGAGUUGGACAUCAGGUGUUCGAUGUCUCACAGAGCUUCUAUCUUCUAUCUUCAUCAGUAGUUCCGAGGAUAGACUCUUUAGCCAUAAUUAGAGGCUGCGUGUCCGUUUGGUAGGUGAGGAAGUACAUUGCUCUGUUGCUAAGGCAGAGCGAGGCUUUCCUUCGACGACUCCAUCGGGCCGAACUGUGCAAGUCCGAGUUCAAGGCCCUAAAAGAAAUUUCUGGGUCCGAAUCCUAAACCAAGACAGAGUACGAAAUAAGUACGCAAGUCCGAGUUCGAGGCCUUAAAAGAAAUUUCUAGGUCCGAGUCCUAAGCCACGGCAGAGCACGAAAUAAGCAUGAAAUUUUUAGCCCUUUAAAUUUAAUUGGCCUAAACAUCAAGAGUUCUAGUACUAAUUGCCAUUUAUAUACUAUUUCAAGUGGACCCGCAUCUAAGUUUCUUGCUGGAUUUUGGCCUGCAAUAUCAUAAAAGUAAUCGAGAAUUUUGCAUUAUAUCAACAAUUGAAAAGGACAAAUGGUGGAAUACGUAUGUAGAGCACUACAAUACCGUCGGUCCAUUCGAUUUUAAGUUUCUAUACUCUCUGCGUUUGGCCGGCAGUUCGAAAGUGGACGUAUGGUGUGAUCUCUUCAUGUCAAGUGAACUCCACAAAGCAUGCACCGGGCAAAAUCAUCAUCAUGUUCUUGGACUUGCCUCCCCGGGUAUUUAUUGUCCCAAAGUAAAAUCUAUCUUUUGCUCAAUGUCCACUUAUUCCUCACCAAGUUGCAUGAGAAACCAGAUAAAAAGUCAUCUGAGCCUCUUCGUAUCCAAGAGACAUUGACGGAGAGCACGUGGACGACCACCAAUCAUCAUCGGGAUCGCUAACGCAAGUCGAAAUAUGCUCAGAGCCCUCGGGCAUCUUACACUUCAUGUUGACUAUGACAAGUACGUGCCUCGUUUCUGAUUGGAAAGAUUUUUUUUUGCUUUUAAUAAUGUCUCUUUGCUUACAUGGGGAAAAUAUUGACUUGUCCCCUUACUGACACCGGAUCCAAAAGUUGGGCCCAAAUGUAAAGAAAUUAAUGGGACUCAACCAGGCCAUGACAACACACUUUAUUUUUAAAAAUGAAUUGCUUGACAAGCUCAUCGAUCAUCAAUUAUCAAUGGAUAAAGUUUAAGUACAUGACAUUUGAUUAACUCGAAACAUGUGUAUAAGUUGAAGAUUGAGUAAAGGAUCCGUUGGUCAAGAAUAACAGUAGCUAAGGAUUAGGGUAUAGUUAGAAAUUGGCCCUAGAGUAUGCACAAAUUAAGAUAGAGAUUCUUAUUGAAAAAUAGUGGAAUUCAGAAUGAAAUCGCUUAUUUAAAGAUACGAGAAGAAUCAAGAAAAAUACAUAGAUAGAAGCACAACGCUUCAAAUUUCGACUAUGAAAACAUGAAAAUGUGAAUAUCAUUCACAAAAGAUCAAUCUAGAUUGAUUUUGCUCAAGUGUGAAAUUGAAUUAUGAUAGAAAUUAGAUUUCUUGGUUUAAAUACUUGUCUUUGACUAUAAAAGCUUUCCAUUUGUAUUUUAUGUGUCUUUUACUUUCUCUACAUACUCCAAUCAUCUUCAUUAGCAAUAUAGGUUUGGUUUCGGUCAUGAAGAAAGUGUAACCUCCAAGAAUGUAAGCCAAUUUUUGAAUAGCUAAAAUUUCAUGCGUUGUUGUUUUCAAUUUAUUAUUAAUGCAUUAUUUAGCAAUUUGAGUUUUGGCAAAGCCCUUGAGUCUUUCAUGCAUAUUAGAUUCCUUUUACUUUUGAUAGAAAUAAAAUUUAUCAAUAUCAAUCGACCAUCAAUCACGUUCAAUCGAACUUUGAUCACUUCUAGAAAGGGAAAAUUUCACGAAUAAAAAUAAACUUAUUGCACUUAUAUAAAUUCAAUCUAGUCAAUUUAAUCUUAAACUUUUUUGAUAAUUUUCCAAUUGAAUUAUUCUAAUUAAUUUUGACUGGAAAUCACUAAUAUUGAUGUUAAUUUUUUUACUUAACACGUGCAACGCUAAUAUAAAUAAUUUUUUUGUAAUUUUUUAAAACCGUUGGUGAGGCCCUUGUACCAACUCCCUUAUUUAUUUAUUUUUGGUCUAAAACGAUAGUAUUAUUAAGAACACAAAGAGUAACAACCGUUCGACAGUGCUUCAGAAUAAAUAAGGUCAAUAAAAUGCUGAGGAGGAGAUACAGCCCAGUUCGUUGGAAGGAGAGAGCGCUCAUGGGCUUUGGCGGCCCAGUCGGCAAUAACAUUUGCUUCUCUUCGGCAGUGAUGAAUCUUCAAAUUAGGGAAACAUGGCCACAACGACGCAUUCAGCGAACAGAGCUCUGUUCUCCCAAGGUGUCAAGGUAGGGUUUUGCAUGGCUUCCACAAGAACGGAACAGUCAAAUUCCAGCACAAGAUGAUCGUUUGAUUUCCCUUUCUGCAGCAGAAAUUUAAGUGUAAGAACGAGCGCCUGCACCUCUGUUUGCAGAGCUGAGGAGGCAAUGACGGUGCAGGUAAAGCCGUCGGUUAAUUGGCCUGAAGAGUCCCGGCACACACGCCACUGAGCCUUCAUAUUGGGCUGAUGGGUAGGCACCAUCUAUGUUUACCUUUACCACUCCCGAAUCUGGUGCGCAUCAUCUCUGCUCUGGAUCUGAUUGUUGUAAACCCUUUUUCGGCUUCGUUUGAUUGCAGCAUCGAAUGGAUCCAGCAUUUGCUAAAGCCACCCGUACCACCUGUACCCUCGAUCAAACUCAAAUUCUCGACCGACCAAAAAAAAACUCCCUUAUUUUAUGUCAUCGAAUUUGACAUGACAACCGUGCGGAGGACAGAGUGGGGAUGCAUCACCCAUUUCUAUGUCAAGCUAUUAAUAUUUCAUGUCGUGUUUGGCUCCCCAACAUGGAGGGCACAAAAGCCUCCUUCCAUUUGCCACUUCUCUCUUUACUAACGAUAAUGUCGAGAUGGGACCUCAGCUCAUAAACCUCGUACCAAGAGAGUAUCACAAGUAUUACGUGAAAAAAAUAAAGAAUUUAAUUUCAGAAUUUUUUUUAUAAGGCAUUUGUUAAACAAUAAGAUUAAAAAUGCGUCAUCUCUAAUACGUGAAAAUAAUAAGACACUUAGUUACAUUUAUAAUUAACUACUUAAAUUAUAUAUAAUUAUUUGAUUAGUUCAACACGUGCUGGCUAUAUUGAGUAAUACCAAAAGUUUCGAGCUAAGUUCUGCUCGUCAAGUCAAAUUAGCCUUUUGAUAGAACUAAAUUGGUGAAAUUAAAAUUUUAAAAUUGGAUUGACACAAAUGCAAUAAAUCUAAGACAUAGUUGAUAAUUUCUACCUAGUUGAAAUCGUUGAUUAUAUCGCUAUCAUAACCUUACAACAACCCAGCUAACAACUCCCUUAUUGUAGGUAUGCUCAUUGAAUUUGACAUGACAACUGUGCGCGAGAAAGAUGGGAAAUGCAUCACCAAUUUCUAUGCCAAACUAUGAAUAUUUUAUGUCGUGUUUGGCUACCCAACAUGGACGGCUCAAAGCCUCUUGCCAUUGGCCAUUUGUCACCUUAGGACCGAGAAGAUCGAGGUUAAAACCACUGGCCAUAAACCUCGUACCAAGUGGCCCGGAUUGGGGCAGGCGGCUAACUAGGGUUUGAUAUAAUCUUUUGUCAAUAAUAAAAUGAAAAUUCCAAUUGGCUAAACAUUUAUAAAAGAAAGGAGAAGUUUCCCGAGAGGUUUCAUGAAACACUUCGCUCUUAUGUAAAGAUAAGAAUUAUAUUAUCUUUGCGACAAAUACGUGUACUUCCUUAUGUACAUAGAAAGAAAAAUUAUGUAUUAUAUAUAAUAAUUUCUUAUGCAAAGAAGACCCCAUUUGAUCACCGGAUUCGAUGAUCUAACAAAUUCCAUUCCAAUCGUACACAUCCUACUUCAAAGUAUAGUUAUGAGACAACGAUAUUCAUAACUAAAUUCUCAUAAUUGAGAAGUUUAGGAUUGAAUUAACCACCGUAUAAUAAAUUUACGAUUUUUUUGGACAAUUUUCUCUAUUAAAGCACACAUAGAUAAGGAAUAUUGAAGUAUUGCACAUAUUACAUGGAAAAAAAAAUAAUGAAUUUAAUCUUAAAAUAGUUUCUGAGGCAUUUAUUAAAUAACCAGAUUAAAGAUGCAUCAUUUCUAAUACACGGAAAUGAUAAUACAUUUAGUUAUAUUCAUAAUUAACUACAUAAAUUAUAUAUAAUUCUUUUGAUUAGUUCAACCGGUGUUGACUAUAUUAAGCAAUACAAGAAGUUUAAAUGCUAAGUUUCUUUUAUCGAGUCAGAAUCACUCUUUUGAUUGGAAAUAUAUUCAACUGGACCUAAUUUCAAUAUAUCAAAUAAAUUAUAAUCGUCGAUCACGAGGGAUUCAGAUGUGGCGAUAGAUCAUAAAAAACGAAGGGAGAAAUUUCCCCUCGUAAAGUGCUCCAAACUUUUGUAGCUUUUGCAAAAUUCCAAAAAAGUCAAACCGUCCGGCCUCACUUCAUAAAGCUCAACAGCCGUUCGGACGAUCAACAGCCGUUCGGACAUCAUAAAGCUCGCCACCUUGAGCGAUCGUGCGAGAGAUCGAGUGAUCGACACCGACCCCGAAGUGGACGACAAUGGAGUUCCCAUAUGGUCAUCACACUCACGGACACCACCACAAACGCGACGGCGACGACGGCUACGAGGAGUCCCGAAGAAACCUGCCCUACCCGCCACCCGGAGCCACCCUCCCGCCCUACGUCUACGGCCAGCCUCCCCCUCCUCCUCCGCCGUCCAACGUGUACCACACCUCGCACUCGCCUCCCCCGUCCGCUUAUCCCUCCCCCUACCCUCCGCCGCCUCAGAUGUUUCCUCAAGGAUCAACCGAGUAUUCUGCUUACCCGUACCCGCC